Dunckerocampus dactyliophorus (ringed pipefish) is the source of this 1436-nucleotide RNA transcript. It is a transcript of the gene named 15-hydroxyprostaglandin dehydrogenase, with no coding region annotated. The record is from RefSeq and is a predicted model, not a curated record. The transcript has 7 exons. NCBI's taxonomy places the organism in Eukaryota, Metazoa, Chordata, Actinopteri, Syngnathiformes, Syngnathidae.
CUCUCACACACGGAAUAUUGUGACAGACUGACAAGCAGAGUGAGAGAGGGAGCCAAUGUAAGAGGGGGGAGGGACGGGAGGAGGAGAAGGACAACCCAACCAAAACACACAGAAGAGUGAGCGAGCCUCUGAAUGUGUGACGAGAAAGAGAAGGUGUCAGAUAGGUGAGUGGUGUAAAGACGAGUCAAAGUAAGUGUGGUCGACCGAAAGGAGGCAAAGUGUCUUGGAGCAUGUCUCUCAAUGGGAAGGUGGCUCUGGUGACUGGGGGUGCUCAGGGCAUUGGGAGAGCUGUGGUCCAGUCCCUCCUGCAAAGCUCAGCAAAGGUGGCUGUGGUGGACCUGAACAAGAUCUGUGGUGAAGAGUGCAGGACACAGCUGGACGCUGAGUUUGGAGAAGGCCGCAGCACCUUUAUUCAGUGUGAUGUGUCCAAUGGAGACUCACUGCGAGAUGCCUUCCAGAGCACAGUGGACCGGUUUGGUCGUCUGGACAUUGUCAUCAACAAUGCUGGGAUCAACAAUGAAAAGAACUGGGAGAAGACCAUACAAGUGAACCUGACAUCGGUAAUAAAUGGGACCUACUUGGCUUUGGAACACAUGAGUAAAGAGCACGGCAAAGAGGGUGGUACUAUCAUCAAUGUAUCAUCCAUGGCAGCCUUCCUGCACUCUCCUCACCAGCCGGUCUACACAGCUACAAAACAUGGCGUAAUUGGCUUCACAAGGGUUAUGGCUGUCACUGUCAUGUUUUGCAGGACGCGUCCUCUCAGAGCGACUACGGCGUGCGAAUCAAUGUGCUGUGUCCAGCUUUCGUCGACACCCCUCUGCUGCACUCAGUAGAACAAGAGGAAUAUAUGGGGAAGUUUGUCAAGUUCAAGGACGAUUUCAAACGCAGCAUGAGCAAGUUUGGAGUUUUACCGCCGUCAUCGAUAGCUGAAGGCAUGAUGAGAUUGAUCACGGACACCAGUCUUAAUGGUGCCGUAAUGAAGAUAACACGCGCCAAAGGAAUCCACUUUCACACCUACGAACCCAUGUCUGCUUGAGUGUUGGCUAAUGGACUCCACCUUGGAAAGGAGAGCAGUAGCGAGCAACCGAUUGAGGACAACAUGCAGUUGUGUGGAGAGCAGAAUCCCCUGGAUCUUUGGAUUCCGCUGCGCCAAUUUGCCUGAACAUGACUUAAUCAUGUAAAUACAACUAAUUACUAUGGUAAUAAAGGGAUAAUUAUAUGACAAUAGCAGCUAUUUCUAUUGCAACACAAAAUGCUAGCCAUGCAACCAAAAAUGCUGAAUGUUUCCAGUGAUUUUCGACAUCAUGUAGCUUCUGUAAUUAAGCAGUAUUAUUCUUAACGACCUGUAACAAUUAUUAUUUAAGAGCUGAGUAAUAUUUUUACAUAAAUUAAAAAACCCUGUGGGAUUAAUUGCAUGUGUCAUUUCUGAACUUUGA